AAAAAGAUUCCCUCCCCCUCACGCCUUGCUGUCAAUCAAACGCUUGUAGGCGGGACUUGAAGCGACAAGAACCAAUCAGAAAAGAGCUCCCCCUCCACCUCACGCUUUGAUGUCAAUCAAACCCUUAGAGGCGGGAUUUGAGGCGUCAAGAACCAAUCAGAAGAAGGAUAGAGUGAGAAGGCGUCGCUGAUAGGCUGAGCUCGGCGCGGUGUGGACCAAUCAGAGCGAGCCACGUGACUCUGUCCGUUGCCGCCCUUUGGUGUGAGGCGGUUUGGAACGUACCAAGUGCGGGGACGGGGCGGGGGGGGAAUAAUUAUAUUUAUAUGGGGAAUACGGAGAUUUUAAGGCUAAAAUAACGAAUAAUGGGAUUAAAGGGGAUUUUACAUAGAGAAUAAUAUGGGGGGGGUUGCUUGGGAGGGGAUAAAAUGGGGGGAAAAAGGGGAUUUUUGGUUAAAUCUCCCCCCCCCGGAGUGAAGGAGAAGUGGUACGGCCCAACCGGAAGUGAGGUGUCGAAGCUGUGAGGGGAACUUCCGGUGUCGGGGGGAGCGGCCGCGGGAGGGGACGGAGCGGGGGGAAAUAGGGAUCUCUAUAGGAUCCCUAUACAUACCCUAUAUGAUGAUGCUGUGCAGCAUGGUGGUGCUGCUGUGCAGCUAUAGGAGCUGUAAUUAACCCCAUUACCUCCCCAUUUCCCCCCCAUAUCCCCCGUUAUCUCCCUUUCUGACCCCAUUCUCCCCCUCUAACCCCAUUAUCUCCCCUAUAGGAUCUCUAUAGGAUCCCUAUAGGAUCUAUAUGAUGAUGCUGUGCAGCAUGGCGGUGCUGCUGUGCAGCUAUAGGAGCUGUAAUUAACCCCAUUAUCUCCCCAUUUCCCCCCCAUAUCCCCCAUUAUCUCCCUUUCUGACCCCAUUAUCCCCUAUAGGAUCUCUAUAGGAUCUCUAUAGGAUCUCUAUAUGAUGAUGCUAUGCAGUAUGGCGGUGCUGCUGUGCAGCUAUAGGAGCUGUAAUUAACCCCAUUAUCCCCUAUAGGAUCCCCUAUAUCCCUAUACGAUGAUGCUGUGCAGCUAUAGGAGCUGUAAUUAACCCCAUUAUCCCCU
RNAcentral lists this long non-coding RNA (1090 nucleotides) under Coturnix japonica (Japanese quail). Its description in RNAcentral is "lncRNA (ENSCJPG00005006606.1)". Lineage: Eukaryota; Metazoa; Chordata; Aves; Galliformes; Phasianidae. The record is from RNAcentral.